UCUUGUCUUAUUAUGGUCGCGGUUGCGACGCGAUGUUCGUUCGGAUCUCCUCCGGCUUUUUUUCUAAGCUAUUGGGCAGGUAUGCCCAUGGGGCUGGUGAUUUCACUGUUGGUCUGUCGUUCAAUGAUUUUCUCUCUACUGCCUAGUUACGAUCUCUAUCAUUUCCACUAUCAUGGCAUGGGACAUCUUGGUUAUUGGUCUUAUUAUCCUCGCUUCUCAUUAUUGUAUCUCUAAAUCAUUAGCAUACACCUCCGAAACAAGGCAAUGAUUUAAAGAUAAUGGUGGGAAGCGAGGAUAGAAAGACUGAUAACCAAGAUUUCCCAUGCCCUGAUAGCAGAAACGAUAGAGAUUGAUGCCAUGAUAGCAGAAAUGAUAAUUUGUAACUACACAGAAAAGAGAGAACUUUUGAACGACAGACCAACAGUGGAAUUAUCCACCCCAUGGGCAUACCUUCUCGGUAGCUUGGAGAGGAUGCCGGAGGAGACGCAAAAG
This 492-nucleotide long non-coding RNA is filed under the name Androctonus crassicauda. Lineage: Eukaryota; Metazoa; Arthropoda; Arachnida; Scorpiones; Buthidae. The record is from RNAcentral.